RNAcentral lists this ribosomal RNA (232 nucleotides) under uncultured bacterium. Its description in RNAcentral is "partial 16S ribosomal RNA". It matches the Rfam family "Bacterial small subunit ribosomal RNA", at positions 103 to 334 of the family's 1533-position model. The record is from RNAcentral.
CGGGUAGCGGAACACGUACGCAACCUUCCUUUAACUGGAGAAUAGCCCCUCGAAAGAGGGAUUAAUACUCCGUAACAUAUUGAAGUGGCAUCACUUUAAUAUUAUAGCUCCGGCGGUUAAAGAUGGGCGUGCGCCUGAUUAGAUAGUUGGCGGGGUAACGGCCCACCAAGUCUGCGAUCAGUAACUGGUGUGAGAGCACGACCAGUCACACGGGCACUGAGACACGGGCCCG